CUGCAUUCUAAGAUUUCAUAUUGGUAGGGAUGAUACUGGCUUUUUAUUUGCCAGUUCUACAUAAACAGCUAUCAGAUUAUUAUAAAUUUAAGAGUCAAUCCUGGAGUGACGUGAGUAGCAGAAUGCCAAGUCUAUGAGUCACGUGAUAACUACUGGACAUGCACAUGAGAAUAUGACGAGGAUGGUGCCUUAGAAUGGGGAUUCUCAAUCUGAGGUAGGAAGACAUGAUGAGCCACAAAAUUCUUAUUACACAUUAAAAUGAAGAUUAAGAAUUACUGAUAGAAUUCAGAUUUGAAGGGGCAUAUGGUGUAAGUUUAGCCCAACCAAAGUGGAAAUGUUAACAGAAGGACGUGGCAGGCAUCCUACAGAGGCAGCUUAUCAUGAAUGCUGCUCAGCUUACUUUCUCAGAGAAUCCAGAAGUCACUACAAUAGUUGUUACUAACGGCUGGUCAAUGUGCUCCAGGAAAGGCUGCCCACAUUUGUCUUUUUGAUGGCUUCCAGCCAAUCAGCUUACCAAAGAAAAGUUAAACAAAACACAC
This 539-nucleotide long non-coding RNA is filed under the name Homo sapiens (human). Its description in RNAcentral is "non-protein coding lnc-PDE1A-1:1". Lineage: Eukaryota; Metazoa; Chordata; Mammalia; Primates; Hominidae. The record is from RNAcentral.